CAACAGGAGGCCUGUCCCCAUCACUGAGGUUGAGGGGACUGAGGACGAAGCCCGGCAGGCCGCAGCGCCAGACAGGACCAAAGCAGCAGAAUCGGAGACAGGAGAAACAUCAACAACAUCCACAUCAACCCCAGCCCCACCAGAUACCCACUGUGGAGGAAGAGGAGGAGGAGGAAGAGGAGAGGAGGCAGUAACCAUCAACCUCAAGCCCUCGAACGCCUACGAGUUCAACCAGUCCCUGAACGCAGCGCGGACCCAGUCCGACCUCCCAGCCUGCGCUGAGCUGCUGAGCUGUGUUCCCCCUGAGACUCUGCCCGUCUACCUCAGUAAUCAGCUGGAUGGACACACGGUCAGCUUUGUUAUGCAGGCCCUGGAAACACAGCUCUUACGGAAGGAGCCUAACUUAGUCUACCAGCACCUCAACCACCUACAUACUGCUGACAGGUUCUCGGUCGUCGUGAUGCUCCUGGAGAAGAGUGAACGUGAUCAGAUGACUCGACUGUUUGACCGUCUGUCCGCCGUGGACAGUGAUGCCUUCAGUAAGAACGACGUGCAGAACCUGGCCAACAAGUACAUCUGACCUCGUCUGGCCCUGCUGGAGCACGUCCCAAAUAGGCCCCUAUUUACCUAGUGCACUAUGGAGGGAAUAAGGCGCCAUAAUGGGACGGUCGUAAGACGCCUAUCAACAUCGCAAGCCGACUUUAAAAACGAAUCCAGACUGGAAAAAUCACCUUUCCGUCAUAAAUAAAGACUAAAUAUUAUUUUGGUAGGUCAAGUCUUAAUUUACCCAUGAUUACAUCGCGUUGUUUUGAUGAUGUUCUCGAACUCGACCCCUUCGUUCUGGCGUGCACCUUCCUGUCGUACGCCGAAGCGUCCCGACGUAACAGACAGGAUCUAUGCAACGUUGGACAACACGACUCAGAAGCUGCUGAACGUACUGGGGAGCGUUAUGGACCCAAAACCCACCUCUUUCUUUCUCUCAAGUUCUCUCGGUAUAAUAUCACGUCUCUACCUACUGUUACUAGGUAUCUCUCUCUCCAAAUACCUUUUAUAAUAUCACAUCUCUACCUACUGUUACUAGGUCUCUCUCUCUCUCUCUCUCUCUCUACCAGACCAUUCUCUCUCUCUCUCUCUCUCUCUCUCUCUCUCUCUCUCUCUCUCUCUCUCUCUCUCUCUCUCUCUCUCUCUCUCUCUCUCUCUCUCUCUCUCUCUCUCUCUCUCUCUCUCUCUCUCUCUCUCUCUCUCUCUCUCUCUCUCUCUCUAAAUACCUUUUAUAAUAUCACAUCUCUACCUACUGUUACUAGGUAUCUCUCUCUCCCUCUCUCUCUCUCUCUCUCUCUCUCUCUCUCUCUCUCUCUCCAAAUACCUUUUAUAAUAUCACAUCUCUACCUACUGUUACUAGGUAUCUCUCUCUCCCUCUCUCUCUCUCCCCCUCUCUCUCUCACACACACACACACACACACACACACACACACACACACACACACACACACACACACACACACACACACACACACACACACACACACACACACACACACACACACACACACAACCUGGAAGUGUUUUAGCUUUAGUUGACUGGCAAGUAAAUGUUGAAAUGCUGUGAACUAUUUAGCUUUUAAAACAUUGAUUCAUAGGUCCAAUGUACAAGAUAUCUUUCAAGCAUUCCCCUUCUGGGUCCGUGUGCUGCGUCCAGGUCCAUUCUCCAGGCUGGCAGAACCAUUAAAAUAAAAAAAAAGACAGAUAACACCCAUAACAAUGUAUGACUACUUUUCCAGGCGGUUUGACUGGCCAAUAGAGGUUGAUUUGUACCCGGGUUAGAAAUUUAAAAAAAAAAAUGGGGAAGGGGGACAAUGAAUUCCAAGCUAGGAGACAUAACGACUUGAAUUGACUGGGCUAGCGUUAGCCCCAGAUGCUAUUCAGAAAAACAACACUUUGUAUUACAGCUUUUACCAUCCUGAUAUUAAAGUAGAUUAACGCAUGCUGCAUAUCAGAAUAUUAACCAAGUGUAUAACAAUCCAAAAAAAAAACUAUUUCCUCUGGGGGUUCAAGGAGUCUUUACCAUCCAUUCUCUGUCUAGAAAUACAAUGCUAGUUUUGGAAGUUGCCUCAGUUCUGUGUAUGAAAACAAUGAUGAAUGAAGCAACUUACAAUGUGCACAAUACUAAAUGGGUAUUAUACAGUACUGCAAUUCAAGGUAAAUGCAAAGUAAUUGUGUAAAAACAUUUGUCUUUUGAAGAAAUGACCAGAAGUUAUGAAAAUGCCCCAGCCAGUCAGCCAGCCAGCCAGCAGAGCACCCUUCCAUCUGCAGUAAUCAGAAGUAUAAUGCUCUGUAACAUGCAGCCAGCCAGCCAGUCAGCCAGCCAGCCAGCCAGUGGAGCACCCUUCCAUCUGCAGUAAUCAGCAGUCUAAUGCUCUGUAACAUGCAGCCAGCCAGCCAGCCAGCCAGCCAGCCAGCCAGCCAGUCAGCAGAGCACCCUUCCAUCUGCUCACAGUGGAGAGAAGACAAGCAGCAUCUUUGUCAGAUGUGCCUUUGGAGUUCAGCUUUUGGAUCUACACUGUUCUGUUGUGUACCCAUUUCAGAUGUUCUGUUGUGUACCCAUUUCAGAUGUUCUGUUGGGUACCCAUUUCAGAUGUUCUGUUGUGUACCCAUUUCAGAUGUUCUGUUGGGUACCCAUUUCAGAUGUUCUGUUCUGUUGGGUACCCAUUUCAGAUGUUCUGUUCUGUUGGGUACCCAUUUCAGAUGUUCUGUUGGGUACCCAUUUCAGAUGUUCUGUUCUGUUGGGUACCCAUUUCAGAUGUUCUGUCGUGUACCCAUUUCAGAUGUUCUGUUCUGUUGGGUACCCAUUUCAGAUGUUCUGUCGGGUACCCAUUUCAGAUGUUCUGUUGGGUACCCAUUUCAGAUGUUCUGUUGGGUACCCAUUUCAGAUGUUCUGUUGUGUACCCAUUUCAGAUGUUCUGUUGGGUACCCAUUUCAGAUGUUCUGUUGUGUACCCAUUUCAGAUGUUCUGUUGGGUACCCAUUUCAGAUGUUCUGUUGUUCUGUUGGGUACCCAUUUCAGAUGUUCUGUCGUGUACCCAUUUCAGAUGUUCUGUUGUUCUGUUGUGUACCCAUUUCAGAUGUUCUGUUGUGUACCCAUUUCAGAUGCCCAUUUCAGAUGUUCUGUUGGGUACCCAUUUCAGAUGUUCUGUUGGGUACCCAUUUCAGAUGUUCUGUUGGGUACCCAUUUCAGAUGUUCUGUUGUGUACCCAUUUCAGAUGUUCUGUUGGGUACCCAUUUCAGAUGUUCUGUUGGGUACCCAUUUCAGAUGUUCUGUUGUUCUGUUGGGUACCCAUUUCAGAUGUUCUGUCGUGUACCCAUUUCAGAUGUUCUGUUGUUCUGUUGUGUACCCAUUUCAGAUGUUCUGUUGUGUACCCAUUUCAGAUGUUCUGUUGGGUACCCAUUUCAGAUGUUCUGUUGUUCUGUUGGGUACCCAUUUCAGAUGUUCUGUCGUGUACCCAUUUCAGAUGUUCUGUUGUUCUGUUGUGUACCCAUUUCAGAUGUUCUGUUGUUCUGUUGUGUACCCAUUUCAGAUGUUCUGUUGUGUACCCAUUUCAGAUGCCCAUUUCAGAUGUUCUGUUGGGUACCCAUUUCAGAUGUUCUGUUGGGUACCCAUUUCAGAUGUUCUGUUGUGUACCCAUUUCAGAUGCCCAUUUCAGAUGUUCUGUUGUUGCAGAUUUAAAAACAUUUAAAAUGACUUGUCAAAAUGUUAGUGUGUUCUUCUUUCUAAAAUGAAUGAAUGUACCGUGUUGAAUUCAGGGAGACGAGCGGAGCGGCAGCUGUUUGUAGCCUGGAGCAAUAGCUGCAUGGUCAGCGGGCUAGUGGCUCAGGGAGGGGGUCAGCAGCUCAGGGAGGGGGUCAGCGGGCUAGUGGCUCAGGGAGGGGGUCAGCGGCUCAGGGAGGGGGUCAGCGGGCUAGUGGCUCAGGGAGGCGGUCAGCGGGCUAGUGGCUCAGGGUGGUUGUCAGCAGGCUAGUGGCU
RNAcentral lists this long non-coding RNA (4020 nucleotides) under Salmo salar (Atlantic salmon). RNAcentral's name for it is "lncRNA (ENSSSAG00000109908.1)". The record is from RNAcentral. Lineage: Eukaryota; Metazoa; Chordata; Actinopteri; Salmoniformes; Salmonidae.